AGGCAUCGUCCUUCUCAUGUACUGUACCAAAGACGACGAGUGGCAUUAGGAGUAAGAAAGAGAGAUAGUUCGCACCCUGACCCACAAGUGGAUAUCGCUUUUCUUUCACUCCAAUCAGUCAGUCAGUCAGUCAGUCAGUUAGUCGAUCGGACACCGACGGUUCGCGUGAUAUAUUCGUCGGAAGGAUAGUGUGUAUUUGAAAGAAAAAACAACAAAGUAUAAACAUUUUUUUCUUUUGCCUCCCCCCCUCAUCGCAAUUUUGUACGUUCUCCCAGAAUCAAAGAAGAAGAGAAUUUUAUUUUAACGAUAAAAAUAAAUUUGUAGAGAGAAAUAAACAGAGAGAUUUACAAAAA
This 353-nucleotide long non-coding RNA is filed under the name Polistes fuscatus (common paper wasp). RNAcentral's name for it is "uncharacterized LOC122518926". Lineage: Eukaryota; Metazoa; Arthropoda; Insecta; Hymenoptera; Vespidae. The record is from RNAcentral.